RNAcentral lists this ribosomal RNA (254 nucleotides) under uncultured bacterium. Its description in RNAcentral is "partial 16S ribosomal RNA". It matches the Rfam family "Bacterial small subunit ribosomal RNA", at positions 524 to 776 of the family's 1533-position model. The record is from RNAcentral.
UACGGGGGGGGCAAGCGUUGUUCGGAAUUACUGGGCGUAAAGGGCUCGUAGGCGGCCAACUAAGUCGGAUGUGAAAUCCCCAGGCUUAACCUGGGAACUGCAUCCGAUACUGGAUGGCUUGAAUCCGGGAGAGGGAUGCAGAGUUCCAGGUGUAGCGGUGAAAUGCGUAGAUAUCUGGAGGAAUACCGGUGGCGAAGGCGGCAUCCUGGACCGGCAUUGACGCUGAGUGAGCGAAAGCCAGGGGAGCGAACGGG